RNAcentral lists this ribosomal RNA (253 nucleotides) under uncultured bacterium. RNAcentral describes it as "partial 16S ribosomal RNA". It matches the Rfam family "Bacterial small subunit ribosomal RNA", at positions 524 to 776 of the family's 1533-position model. The record is from RNAcentral.
UACGUAGGGUGCGAGCGUUAAUCGGAAUUACUGGGCGUAAAGCGUGCGCAGGCGGUUUUGUAAGCCAGAUGUGAAAUCCCCGGGCUUAACCUGGGAAUGGCAUUUGGGACUGCAAGGCUGGAGUGUGGCAGAGGAAACUGGAAUUCCUGGUGUAGCAGUGAAAUGCGUAGAUAUCAGGAGGAAUACCGAUGGCGAAGGCAGGUCUCUGGGCUAACACUGACGCUCAUGCACGAAAGCGUGGGGAGCAAACAGG